This 429-nucleotide ribosomal RNA is filed under the name Chloroflexota bacterium. RNAcentral's name for it is "Chloroflexi bacterium partial 16S ribosomal RNA". It matches the Rfam family "Bacterial small subunit ribosomal RNA", at positions 355 to 776 of the family's 1533-position model. Lineage: Bacteria; Bacillati; Chloroflexota. The record is from RNAcentral.
UGGGGAAUAUUGCACAAUGGGCGCAAGCCUGAUGCAGCCAUGCCGCGUGUAUGAAGAAGGCCUUCGGGUUGUAAAGUACUUUCAGUCGGGAGGAAGGUGGUAAGGUUAAUAACCUUAUCAAUUGACGUUACCGACAGAAGAAGCACCGGCUAACUCCGUGCCAGCAGCCGCGGUAAUACGGAGGGUGCAAGCGUUAAUCGGAAUUACUGGGCGUAAAGCGCACGCAGGCGGUUGAUUGAGUCAGAUGUGAAAUCCCCGGGCUUAACCCGUGAAUUGCAUCUGAUACUGGUCAGCUAGAGUCUUGUAGAGGAGGGUAGAAUUCCAUGUGUAGCGGUGAAAUGCGUAAGGAUGUGGAGGAAUACCGGUGGCGAAGGCGGCCCCCUGGACAAAGACUGACGCUCAGGUGCGAAAGCGUGGGGAGCAAACAGG